GGGACUGCCUUAUAGCUUUCCUCCUACACUCUCCUGGGUACACUCCCUCGAGACGUGAAUCUUUGUGGUGACUGCUAAUAUCCGGCGGCACCCAUCUGCUCCGGUGCCCUGAGGAUCGAUACCGCUCUCCAGUAGAAGAUGUGCUCUUUGUGCUGUUGUUUGGAUUCUGGAUUUCUCACUUUAUGCUGCUUUGGAUUUCGCCCGUCCUCUGUGUUUCCACAUACCAUGUAGCCGGAUGCCAGACCACCAGUUCAUCUAGUUCAAGACCAAUUGAUUAACUGAUCAGUACUAAACGCCAUUGGGCAUCAUUCACUCUUUUAUUGAUACGAUCUUGUAAUGUGUAAAUGGAAUCAAGUAAGCUUAGAGUUUACUUCAUCUUUACCUACUCUGAAGCAGGUCUUCAGCCUAAUGCUGGGGGUCACACAUUCACGUAUCACGACGGCGUAUGCCCACGUAUGCGGAUCGGGAGCAUCAUCGCGGUGAAAUGACCUUGAACAGCUGGUAAACAGGACACAGGCUGACGGACGUAAAGCCAGCACCGUAAAUUGCGCCGCAAAUGUACACGCAACGCAAGCAAGGUCGGACGUCCUUCCUAUCUGGAACUUUCUCCGAUACUGUAACGUUCUAUGUACGUCAACUUCACGUCGUUACCACGCCCACCGUGUUGGGGCUGUAGGGUACAAAAUGGCCGGCCUGAAAACAGAGCAGACUGUAAAGUGAUGGAACAUGUUUGAGAGAAUGUAAAAAUAAAAAUAUUGCAUCUGAAAAUCCAGGUUGUAAAUUCACUUUGGUAGAAUUCUGCAUGUACUGUAAAAUAUUGUAUAUUUUCAACAAAUAAAAAAAAAUUAAGUCAGA
Macrobrachium nipponense is the source of this 855-nucleotide long non-coding RNA. RefSeq lists it as uncharacterized. The record is from RefSeq and is a predicted model, not a curated record. NCBI's taxonomy places the organism in Eukaryota, Metazoa, Arthropoda, Malacostraca, Decapoda, Palaemonidae. The transcript is spliced from 2 exons.